This 111-nucleotide small nuclear RNA is filed under the name Myotis davidii. RNAcentral describes it as "U1 spliceosomal RNA". It matches the Rfam family "U1 spliceosomal RNA", at positions 54 to 166 of the family's 166-position model. From Rfam's summary of the family: U1 is a small nuclear RNA (snRNA) component of the spliceosome (involved in pre-mRNA splicing). Its 5' end forms complementary base pairs with the 5' splice junction, thus defining the 5' donor site of an intron. There are significant differences in sequence and secondary structure between metazoan and yeast U1 snRNAs, the latter being much longer (568 nucleotides as compared to 164 nucleotides in human). Lineage: Eukaryota; Metazoa; Chordata; Mammalia; Chiroptera; Vespertilionidae. The record is from Rfam by way of RNAcentral.
GAGGCUUAUCCAUUGCACUCCGGAUGUGCUGACUCUUGCAAUUUCCCCAAAUGUGGGAAACUCAACAGCAUAAUUUGUUGUAGUGGGGAACUGUGUUCUCACUCUCCCCUA